This 253-nucleotide ribosomal RNA is filed under the name uncultured bacterium. RNAcentral describes it as "partial 16S ribosomal RNA". It matches the Rfam family "Bacterial small subunit ribosomal RNA", at positions 524 to 776 of the family's 1533-position model. The record is from RNAcentral.
UACAGAGGGGGCGAGCGUUGUUCGGAAUUACUGGGCGUAAAGGGCGCGUAGGCGGCCUGCUAAGUCGAACGUGAAAUCCCUGGGCUCAACCCAGGAACUGCGUCCGAUACUGGUUGGCUUGAAUCCGGGAGAGGGAUGUGGAAUUCCAGGUGUAGCGGUGAAAUGCGUAGAGAUCAGGAAGAACAUCGGUGGCGAAGGCGCUCUACUGGACCACAACUGACACUCAGGGACGAAAGCUAGGGGAGCGAAUGGG